Molecule: ribosomal RNA, 253 nt
Filed under: uncultured bacterium
Lineage: Bacteria
Description: partial 16S ribosomal RNA
Rfam family: Bacterial small subunit ribosomal RNA
Source: RNAcentral
UACGAAGGGGGCUAGCGUUGCUCGGAAUCACUGGGCGUAAAGGGUGCGUAGGCGGGUCUUUAAGUCAGGGGUGAAAUCCUGGAGCUCAACUCCAGAACUGCCUUUGAUACUGAAGAUCUUGAGUUCGGGAGAGGUGAGUGGAACUGCGAGUGUAGAGGUGAAAUCCGUUGAUAUUAUGGGGAACACCAAAAGCGAAGGCAGUUCACUGGCGCAUUCCUGACACUGAAACACGAAAGCGUGGGUAGCGAAUGGG